UACGGAGGGUGCGAGCGUUGUCCGGAUUUAUUGGGUUUAAAGGGUGCGUAGGUGGGUUAAUAAGUCAGUGGUGAAAUACGGUUGCUCAACAAUCGAGGUGCCAUUGAUACUGUUAAUCUUGAAAACAAGUGGAGGUUGCCGGAAUGGAUGGUGUAGCGGUGAAACGCAUAGAUAUCAUCCAGAACACCGAUUGCGAAGGCAGGUGACUACGUUUGAUUUUGACACUGAGGCACGAAAGCAUGGGGAGCAAACAGG
This 255-nucleotide ribosomal RNA is filed under the name uncultured bacterium. RNAcentral's name for it is "partial 16S ribosomal RNA". It matches the Rfam family "Bacterial small subunit ribosomal RNA", at positions 524 to 776 of the family's 1533-position model. The record is from RNAcentral.